Molecule: ribosomal RNA, 244 nt
Filed under: uncultured bacterium
Lineage: Bacteria
Description: partial 16S ribosomal RNA
Rfam family: Bacterial small subunit ribosomal RNA
Source: RNAcentral
UCGAACGAGACCUUCGGGUCUAGUGGCGCACGGGUGCGUAACGCGUGGGAACCUGCCCUUAGGUUCGGAAUAACUCCCCGAAAGGGGUGCUAAUACCGAAUAAUGUCUUCGGACCAAAGAUUUACCGCCUUUGGAUGGGCCCGCGUUGGAUUAGCUAGUUGGUGGGGUAAAGGCCUACCAAGGCGACGAUCAGUAGCUGGUCUGAGAGGACGGCCAGCCACAAUGGCACUGAAACACGGGCCAU